GACGAACGCUGGCGGCGUGCUUAACACAUGCAAGUCGAACGGUGAAGCGCCUUCCUUUUUGGUGGGUGUGGAUGAGUGGCGAACGGGUGAGUAACACGUGAGUAACCUGCCCCCUUCUUCUGGAUAACCGCAUGAAAGUGUGGCUAAUACGGGAUAUUCUGGGUCUGUCGCAUGAUGGGUCUGGGAAAGAUAUUGUUUCGGUGGGGGAUGGGCUCGCGGCCUAUCAGCUUGUUGGUGGGGUGAUGGCCUACCAAGGCGGUGACGGGUAGCCGGCCUGAGAGGGUGGCCGGUCACACUGGGACUGAGACACGGCCCAGACUCCUACGGGAGGCAGCAGUGGGGAAUAUUGCACAAUGGGCGCAAGCCUGAUGCAGCGACGCCGCGUGAGGGAUGGAGGCCUUCGGGUUGUGAACCUCUUUCGCCAGUGAAGCAGGCCUGCCUCGUUUGUGGGUGGGUUGACGGUAGCUGGAGAAGAAGCGCCGGCUAACUACGUG
This 494-nucleotide ribosomal RNA is filed under the name uncultured bacterium. RNAcentral describes it as "partial 16S ribosomal RNA". It matches the Rfam family "Bacterial small subunit ribosomal RNA", at positions 28 to 507 of the family's 1533-position model. The record is from RNAcentral.